AACGCGAAGAACCUUACCUGGGCUCGAAAUGCUAUGGACCAGCUUAUGAAAGUAGGCCUUCCCGCAAGGGACCGUAGUAUAGGUGCUGCAUGGCUGUCGUCAGCUCGUGUUGUGAAAUGUUGGGUUAAGUCCCGCAACGAGCGCAACCCUUAUCCUUUGUUGCCAGCGAGUAAUGUCGGGAACUCAAAGGAGACUGCCGGUGAUAAACCGGAGGAAGGUGGGGAUGACGUCAAGUCAUCAUGGCCCUUACGAGUAGGGCUACACACGUGCUACAAUGGCAUAUACAAAGAGAAGCGAACUCGCGAGAGCAAGCGGACCUCAUAAAGUAUGUCGUAGUCCGGAUUGGAGUCUGCAACUCGACUCCAUGAAGUCGGAAUCGCUAGUAAUCGUAGAUCAAAAUGCUACGGUGAAUACGUUCCCGGGCCUUGUACACACCGCCCGU
RNAcentral lists this ribosomal RNA (442 nucleotides) under uncultured bacterium. RNAcentral describes it as "bacterial SSU rRNA". It matches the Rfam family "Bacterial small subunit ribosomal RNA", at positions 958 to 1397 of the family's 1533-position model. The record is from RNAcentral.